RNAcentral lists this ribosomal RNA (801 nucleotides) under Pseudomonas aeruginosa. RNAcentral describes it as "bacterial SSU rRNA". It matches the Rfam family "Bacterial small subunit ribosomal RNA", at positions 786 to 1533 of the family's 1533-position model. The record is from RNAcentral. Lineage: Bacteria; Pseudomonadati; Pseudomonadota; Gammaproteobacteria; Pseudomonadales; Pseudomonadaceae.
CCUAGUUGUCUGUACAUAAUUAUCUCUUUGGGUGUAUUUUUUUAUUUUAGUGAUCUCAAAUAAUGCAAUAAAUUUACCGCCUUGGGAAGUACAGCCUCAAGGGGAAAACUAAAAUGAAUUGACGGGGGCGCGCCCCACCGCUGGUAGCAUGUGGUUUAUUUCUUUUCAACACUAAGAACCUUACCUCGCCUUGACAUGUUCAUAGCUUUCCUUAUAUUUAUUGUUGCCUUCGGAGAACUCAUACACAAGUGCUGCUUAGCUGUCGUCAUCUCUUUUCGUUAUAUGUUGUGGUUUAUCCCCUAACGACCGCAACCCCUUUCCUUAUUUACCACCACCUCGGGUGGGCACUCUAAGGAGACUACCGGUGACGAACCGGAGGAAGGUGGGGAUGACGUCAAGUCAUCAUGGCCCUUACGGCCAGGGCGACACACGUGCUACAAUGGACGGUACAAAGGGUUGCCAAUCCGCUAAGUGGAGCUGAUCCCAUAAAACCAAUCGUAGUCCGGAUCGCAGUCUGCAACUCGACUGCGUAAAUUCUGAAUCACUAGAAAUCGUGAAGCAGAAUGUCACGGUGAAUACAUUCCCGGGCCUUGUACACACCGCCCGUCACACCAUGGUAGUGGGUUGCUCCGGAAAUAACCAAUCUAACCACGGGGUGGACGGUUACCACAGAAUUAGUCGAGACUGGAUUCAGGUCAGUACAAUGGAGCCAGCUUGUACCAUAAUAAGAUUCUUAAUAGCAACCUCAAAAAAUGCGCGUAUUUAAUAUGAUUAUACCAGAAUUUAACAUCAAUUUUUUGU